Molecule: ribosomal RNA, 364 nt
Filed under: uncultured eukaryote
Lineage: Eukaryota
Description: partial 18S ribosomal RNA
Rfam family: Eukaryotic small subunit ribosomal RNA
Source: RNAcentral
CAAAAGCGUAUAUUAAAGUUGUUGCAGUUAAAAAGCUCGUAGUUGAACCUUGGGCUUGGCUGGCCGGUCCAUCUUUUUUGAUGCGUACUGGACCCAGCCGAGCCUUUCCUUCUGGCUAGCCUUUUGGCGAACCAGGACUUUUACUUUGAAAAAAUUAGAGUGUUCAAAGCAGGCCUUUGCUCGAAUAUAUUAGCAUGGAAUAAUAGAAUAGGACGUUAUGGUUCUAUUUUGUUGGUUUCUAGGACCACCGUAAUGAUUAAUAGGGACGGUCGGGGGUAUCAGUAUUCAGUUGUCAGAGGUGAAAUUCUUGGAUUUACUGAAGACUAACUACUGCGAAAGCAUUUACCAAGGACGUUUUCAUUAA